CUUGAAUUCAGAAAUCUUCCUGCCUCUGCCUCCUAAGUGCUGGGAUUAAAGGCGUGUACCACCACUGCCUGGGUCUUUUUUAUGUCUUUAAGGCAGUCUUUCAUGGAGGGUUGGCCUUAAACCGGUUGUAUGCAGAAGGAUGACCUUGAACUCCUGAUUCUCCUGCUGCUGCUUCUGGAAUUAUGCCAACACAUCCAGCUCUUAGCUUUAAAUACCUAUUUUUAUUUUAUGUACAUUGAGUGUUUUGGCUGCAUGUGUGUUAGCAUGUUGUAUAUGUUGUGCCUGGAGUCAGUCCCGGAUCCUAACCACUGAACCAUCUCUCCAACACCAGCUCAAAAGGAAUGAAAGCUUGCUCAAGCCUGCCUUGGGGUCAGAGCGUUUUAAGAGUUCAUAUUUGUGACCCACUAAUCUUGUAUCCUUCAAGAAGUAAUUAAAGUGUAUUUUUUCCAGUCUUCAUUACUUCUGAACUCAAGCAAGAUGUCACUUGGGUGCUUUUGCCUUAGUUUGACCUUUUAUAGCCUCCACCUCAGAGCCAGCUUUAGAGACAGACAUUCUCUGGAUUCCAGUCUGGUCCAAUAGACAGUUGAGUGAGGGGAAAAAAAAACCAAGAGCUAAAUGAUGUAUUAAAUUAAGUGUAUUUAUCAAGUGUUCCCCGGAGCAGUGUUCAGUUUGAUUUGAAGUGACUCCGAUUCCUGAGGGAGAGAGUAGAGAGAAAAGACAGUUUCAUUAAUGGCUUUUGACUCCACAGAACAAAGCUCUGUAAAGAGAAUCAGUUGAAGGCUUGGCAUCCUGGCUCAGGCAGGCACUUCUUUCUGUUAGUUUUUGUCUUAUACCGAGUUGGACUUGGGGGUAAUUUGGCAAUUAUAGAACUCAGGCUGUUUGCCCUGGUUCCUGCCUGUUAUGGUAAUCUCUGUUGAGAUAAAGUGGGCACCUAAAGGCUUUACUUAAGCCCUAAAUCUGCUUUUGUGUUUUUCUUUUGACAAGUACUAGCUCUGGGUAUAGGUCAGGUUUUAAUGAAAUUCUUAGCAGUUGCCUGGCUGAGAUCUAAUAGGUUAAAGGAAAAUGGUAUGGUUGGUUAUAAAGAAGAUGGAGGCUCUCUGCACUAUGACCUUCCUCCCCCUCACCUGAGACUGGGGUUCUAUUGCAGCUUUGACUGUCGUGGAGCUUACUCUAUAGACCAGGAUGGCUUCAAAUUCCCAGAGUUUCAUCUGUCUUGGCUUCCCAAGUGCUGAGAGAGGUAGGGCCUUUGACCUCCCUUCUGGAGGCUUCUCCUGUCACCGCUCCCCAGAUGGACUCAGUGUCUCAUGAGCACUGAGCAGGGGAGCUCUUUGGGCAGUGUGCACAAAGAUGUCAUCUGGGUAGAGACUAAUGAGGGUAUCUUGUUUUUUUCUUCUGAGUUCCCCCCAAAUUUCUCUCAGUGAUUCCUAAUUCAGUCAGUUUUCUAGUUAGAUUGUGGAGGUUCAUGAGUUUACAUAUGUGUGAUAAGUACAAAACCUGAACACUGCUUUUUGCCCUAAAGUUGUGGUUUUCAAUGCUGCAGCCCUUCAGUAUGUACGGUUCCUCAUGUAUUGAGACCCCCAGACAUAAUACUAUUUUUGCUGUUCCUUUAUAACUCUAUUUUUGCUACUGUUAUGAAUCAUAAUAUAAUAUCUGGUAUGCAGGACAUAUGAGAUACAACCCCAGAGGUCACAACCCACAAGGUGAGAGCUGCCCUUGAGUAUGAAUGUCCUUAGAGAGUAAGGAAGAGAGGCUAGUGUUUGGUUUGCUUUGCUUUGUUUUCAGUGCAGGGGAUCUAACUUGAUACAUACAAGGCAAGUUUUUACAGCUCAGUGUAUACACGCCCCCAGUUCUUAGUGUUUUUAAAAAUGUGCCCUUUGAUCCAGUGGGGAGACAGUCCACCUAUUGCAUUGAUACAAAAAAAAAAAAAAAA
This is a long non-coding RNA of Mus musculus (house mouse), 1930 nucleotides long. RefSeq annotates it as predicted gene, 46172. The transcript has 2 exons. Lineage: Eukaryota; Metazoa; Chordata; Mammalia; Rodentia; Muridae. The record is from RefSeq and is a predicted model, not a curated record.